GGACCUUAUCACCCAGAAACCUUAUCUCCUUUGACUAUUUUGCAAAUUCUUAUAAUCAACUUAACGCUAAGGUCUGACGCUAAAGUCUGACUUGCAAAACAAAGCCUCACAGGUCCCCCUUAUUCUAGCUGCUGGUACACCUGAAGGAAACCCAAGAUUGAGCUAUUUUCUGGACAGUUGCAUCACGCUGCUGACUCACACUGAACCUACUGUUGAUUACAUCUCACAUUAUCCCUCACCAGCACUGUAUAUAUCAUCAACAACAGAUGGAUCCCUGAAUGAAUGGGAAAGUGAAUGAAUGAAACAAAGUGACCCCACUCAACGUGAAGAACCUGUGUGAACAGAUGUCCACAUGUAAGGCGAAGGAAGUCACCACCACCCAUAGAGGAACAGAAAACACAACAACUGAAGAGGAAAUUUGCUUGAGUCAAAGAGAGAGCAAACUGCACACCAGUUACAUAUUCUCCUACCGCCCCAAGAGACGCACCUUCCGUUUUCAGACUCCAAGAUUACAGAAUUGUGCACAGAAGAGGAACAAGCGUUAUUGCUCUACUUGCUAUCACAGAUCUGUCAUCAGAUUCCUUUAAAGCUUUGACUUUUCUAGACUUUUCUUAACCUUCUCGAUUUGUCUAGCGCCCCCACCCCUAUGAAAUCUACACAAAAUUCAAUACCUGCUUCUUAUUAAUUAGGAUAA
Myotis davidii is the source of this 694-nucleotide long non-coding RNA. RefSeq lists it as uncharacterized. NCBI's taxonomy places the organism in Eukaryota, Metazoa, Chordata, Mammalia, Chiroptera, Vespertilionidae. The transcript has 2 exons. The record is from RefSeq and is a predicted model, not a curated record.